GACGAACGCUGGCGGCGUGCCUAAUACAUGCAAGUUGAGCGAUGAAGAUUGGUGCUUGCACCAAUUUGAAGAGCAGCGAACGGGUGAGUAACGCGUGGGGAAUCUGCCUUUGAGCGGGGGACAACAUUUGGAAACGAAUGCUAAUACCGCAUAACAACUUUAAACAUAAGUUUUAAGUUUGAAAGAUGCAAUUGCAUCACUCAAAGAUGAUCCCGCGUUGUAUUAGCUAGUUGGUGAGGUAAAGGCUCACCAAGGCGAUGAUACAUAGCCGACCUGAGAGGGUGAUCGGCCACAAUGGGACUGGGACACGGCCCAAACUCCUACGGGGGGGAGCAGUAGGGAAUCUUCGGCAAUGGACGAAAGUCUGACCGAGCAACGCCGGGUGGGUGGAGAAGGUUUUCGGGUCGUAAAACUCUGUUGGUAGGGAAGAACGUUGGUGAGAGUGGAAAGCUCAUCAAGUGACGGUAACUACACAGAAAGGGACGGCUAACUACGUG
Molecule: ribosomal RNA, 497 nt
Filed under: uncultured bacterium
Lineage: Bacteria
Description: partial 16S ribosomal RNA
Rfam family: Bacterial small subunit ribosomal RNA
Source: RNAcentral